This 433-nucleotide ribosomal RNA is filed under the name uncultured bacterium. RNAcentral describes it as "partial 16S ribosomal RNA". It matches the Rfam family "Bacterial small subunit ribosomal RNA", at positions 29 to 507 of the family's 1533-position model. The record is from RNAcentral.
AACGAACGCUGGCGGCAGGCCUAACACAUGCAAGUCGAGCGCGCCCUUCGGGGUGAGCGGCGGACGGGUGAGUAACGCGUGGGAACGUGCCCUUUUCUACGAAAUAGCCUCGGGAAACGGAGAGUAAUACCGAAAACGCCCUUGGGGGGAAAGAUUUAUCGGAAAAGGAUCGGCCCGCGUUGGAUUAGGUAGUUGGUGGGGUAAUGGCCUACCAAGCCGACGAUCCAUAGCUGGUUUGAGAGGAUGAUCAGCCACACUGGGACUGAGACACGGCCCAGACUCCUACGGGAGGCAGCAGUGGGGAAUCUUAGACAAUGGGGGCAACCCUGAUCUAGCCAUGCCGCGUGAGUGAUGAAGGCCUUAGGGUUGUAAAGCUCUUUCAGCUGGGAAGAUAAUGACGGUACCAGCAGAAGAAGCCCCGGCUAACUCCGUG